UCAGGGGUUGGAACAUAACAGCAGAGGAGUUUAAUGCAUUCCUGAAGGAGACAGAGAUGGAAGAUUAUGAUAUUCAAAUAAUCUACAAUCCACGACGGAAGAGGUCUUUCCUUUGCAGCUCUUACAGAAGUGAAAGCUUCACUGAUGAAGACUUCAUGGAAGACUCAUAUGAGGAUUCAG
Molecule: non-coding RNA, 180 nt
Organism: Penaeus vannamei (Pacific white shrimp)
Lineage: Eukaryota; Metazoa; Arthropoda; Malacostraca; Decapoda; Penaeidae
Source: RefSeq, a predicted model, not a curated record